This 603-nucleotide unclassified non-coding RNA is filed under the name Sphingomonas sp. SLAU-27. RNAcentral's name for it is "partial 16S-23S ribosomal RNA intergenic spacer". The stretch from base 192 to 248 matches the Rfam family "tRNA", at positions 9 to 63 of the family's 71-position model. The record is from RNAcentral. Lineage: Bacteria; Pseudomonadati; Pseudomonadota; Alphaproteobacteria; Sphingomonadales; Sphingomonadaceae.
AAGUCCGAAUGUCCCUCGAGGCUUGUACGAGCAUAAGUCCAAGUCGACGGAUGUUGCCUGCCGGCGGCUCAGGCUGACAAAGAAACAGGUCCGGUAGUUCAGGUCGGUAGAGGGCACCCGUGAUUAAGGUGAGGUGGGAGGUUCCACCUCCUACCCCGGCCCACCAGUGGUCGAAACUGCUCGGGGCCCUCAGCUUAGCUGGGAGAGCGGAUGCUUUGCAAACAUCAUGUCAUCGGUUCGAUCCCGAUAGACUGCACCACUUUUUCGGCGUUUAUAGCUCGUCCGGGAGACCGGCUGCCUGAAAAACUCCUAGCAGAUAGGCUGCGAGGCUGUAACGCCCCCACGCACUGCGAUCAUAUCUCUAGAGAUGAAGAGUAGCGGUUUGCCGGACUUGUCCGGCGAUACGGCACGCACAAGCGUGCUUCUUUGACAUUGUGAAUGGGUUUUUUAAUCGAUGCCGUGGUGCGGCGCCGGUUGGUCGAGAGGGUCGCAAGAUCCUUGAGGGCAACGGUGUUCGUAAUCACACAAUAUCUGGCUGAGUUAAUGACCACAUGAUCCGGCGGUGGCCUCAGGGUGUCGUGGUGGUGUGAUCUGCAGGCUUUC